Long non-coding RNA from Ornithorhynchus anatinus (platypus), 309 nucleotides. RefSeq lists it as uncharacterized. The transcript is spliced from 2 exons. The record is from RefSeq and is a predicted model, not a curated record. NCBI's taxonomy places the organism in Eukaryota, Metazoa, Chordata, Mammalia, Monotremata, Ornithorhynchidae.
CUCAUCAUCGUAACUGUGGAUGAAAUAUCAGGCUUUCUCUAGUGCCCUUGAAAAUGUGCCAGAUCAUAGGAACCCAGAGCACCCUGCCUUCAAGGAAGAACAUAAGUGAUGGACCAGAGAUGGGAGAGCAGAGAGUGAGGUAUCUAGCCCUUCUGGAAAAGGUUUCUGCCAUGAAGAAUGGAAUCGUUCAGAAAUUUACUGUAGGACUCAACAUAUCUCUUUUACCCUCCUGGUCUAUUUAGUUGUUCUUGAGAAGCCCGUAGAAUCUUCCUUUUCAUGGACCAUAAAUAAACACCCAAUCUAACACUU